This 747-nucleotide ribosomal RNA is filed under the name uncultured bacterium. RNAcentral's name for it is "bacterial SSU rRNA". It matches the Rfam family "Bacterial small subunit ribosomal RNA", at positions 33 to 773 of the family's 1533-position model. The record is from RNAcentral.
ACGCUGGCGGCAGGCCUAACACAUGCAAGUCGAGCGGCAGCACGGGUACUUGUACCUGGUGGCGAGCGGCGGACGGGUGAGUAAUGCCUAGGAAUCUGCCUGGUAGUGGGGGAUAACGUUCGGAAACGGACGCUAAUACCGCAUACGUCCUACGGGAGAAAGUGGGGGAUCUUCGGACCUCACGCUAUCAGAUGAGCCUAGGUCGGAUUAGCUAGUUGGUGAGGUAAUGGCUCACCAAGGCGACGAUCCGUAACUGGUCUGAGAGGAUGAUCAGUCACACUGGAACUGAGACACGGUCCAGACUCCUACGGGAGGCAGCAGUGGGGAAUAUUGGACAAUGGGCGAAAGCCUGAUCCAGCCAUGCCGCGUGUGUGAAGAAGGUCUUCGGAUUGUAAAGCACUUUAAGUUGGGAGGAAGGGUUGUAGAUUAAUACUCUGCAAUUUUGACGUUACCGACAGAAUAAGCACCGGCUAACUCUGUGCCAGCAGCCGCGGUAAUACAGAGGGUGCAAGCGUUAAUCGGAAUUACUGGGCGUAAAGCGCGCGUAGGUGGUUUGUUAAGUUGAAUGUGAAAUCCCCGGGCUCAACCUGGGAACUGCAUCCAAAACUGGCAAGCUAGAGUAUGGUAGAGGGUGGUGGAAUUUCCUGUGUAGCGGUGAAAUGCGUAGAUAUAGGAAGGAACACCAGUGGCGAAGGCGACCACCUGGACUAAUACUGACACUGAGGUGCGAAAGCGUGGGGAGCAAAC